RNAcentral lists this ribosomal RNA (924 nucleotides) under uncultured bacterium. RNAcentral describes it as "bacterial SSU rRNA". It matches the Rfam family "Bacterial small subunit ribosomal RNA", at positions 8 to 940 of the family's 1533-position model. The record is from RNAcentral.
AGAGUUUGAUCAUGGCUCAGGAUGAACGCUAGCGGCAGGCUUAACACAUGCAAGUCGAGGGGUAUAGUAGCAAUACUAGAGACCGGCGCACGGGUGCGUAACGCGUAUGCAAUCUACCUUUUGCAGAGGGAUAGCCCAGAGAAAUUUGGAUUAAUACCUCAUAGUAUGUUUGAAUGGCAUCAUUUAAACAUUAAAGUCACAACGGCAAAAGAUGAGCAUGCGUCCCAUUAGCUAGUUGGUAAGGUAACGGCUUACCAAGGCAACGAUGGGUAGGGGUCCUGAGAGGGAGAUCCCCCACACUGGUACUGAGACACGGACCAGACUCCUACGGGAGGCAGCAGUGAGGAAUAUUGGACAAUGGGCGCAAGCCUGAUCCAGCCAUGCCGCGUGCAGGAUGACGGUCCUAUGGAUUGUAAACUGCUUUUGUACAGGAAGAAACACCCCGACGUGUCGGGGCUUGACGGUACUGUAAGAAUAAGGAUCGGCUAACUCCGUGCCAGCAGCCGCGGUAAUACGGAGGAUCCAAGCGUUAUCCGGAAUCAUUGGGUUUAAAGGGUCCGUAGGCGGCUUUAUAAGUCAGUGGUGAAAUCUCCCCGCUCAACGGGGAAACGGCCACUGAUACUGUAAGACUUGAAUUAUUAGGAAGUAACUAGAAUAUGUAGUGUAGCGGUGAAAUGCUUAGAGAUUACAUGGAAUACCAAUUGCGAAGGCAGGUUACUACUAAUGGAUUGACGCUGAUGGACGAAAGCGUGGGUAGCGAACAGGAUUAGAUACCCUGGUAGUCCACGCCGUAAACGAUGGAUACUAGCUGUUGGGAGCAAUCUCAGUGGCUAAGCGAAAGUGAUAAGUAUCCCACCUGGGGAGUACGUUCGCAAGAAUGAAACUCAAAGGAAUUGACGGGGGCCCGCACAAGCGGUGGAGCAU